This 435-nucleotide ribosomal RNA is filed under the name uncultured bacterium. RNAcentral's name for it is "partial 16S ribosomal RNA". It matches the Rfam family "Bacterial small subunit ribosomal RNA", at positions 28 to 507 of the family's 1533-position model. The record is from RNAcentral.
GAUGAACGCUGGCGGUAUGCUUAACACAUGCAAGUCGAACGGACUCUUCGGAGUUAGUGGCGGACGGGUGCGUAACGCGUGAGAAUCUGGCUUUGGGUUCGGGACAACCACUGGAAACGGUGGCUAAUACCGGAUGUGCCGAGAGGUAAAAGAGAAAUUGCCUGAAGAUGAGCUCGCGUCUGAUUAGCUAGUUGGUGAGGUAAAGGCUCACCAAGGCAGCGAUCAGUAGCUGGUCUGAGAGGAUGACCAGCCACACUGGGACUGAGACACGGCCCAGACUCCUACGGGAGGCAGCAGUGGGGAAUUUUCCGCAAUGGGCGAAAGCCUGACGGAGCAAUACCGCGUGAGGGAAGAAGGAUCUUGGGUUGUAAACCUCUUUUCUUAGGGAAGAACAAAAUGACGGUACCUAAGGAAUCAGCAUCGGCUAACUCCGUG